GUCCCUGUAGCGCAAUGGAUCGCGUGUUGAACUGCUAAUCCAAAGGUCGUGAGUUCAAUUUCCACCUGGAAUG
This is a non-coding RNA of Trichonephila clavipes, 73 nucleotides long. The record is from the annotation of a GenBank genome assembly. Lineage: Eukaryota; Metazoa; Arthropoda; Arachnida; Araneae; Nephilidae.